CCACAUAUGUAAGAUUUCGUAAUUUCUUACAGACACCACUGAAAUAAAUUAAUAAACUUUAUCUCUAAAUAUUUUCAUCCUCUUCUCCCUCCAUGCGACCACCGGAUCCGCCGAGUCUUUGAAUCUUUCCAAGGAUUUCUUUGUUUAUUUACACCUCUUGUACUAAUCCGUUUUGCUAACCAAAAUUCUUACGACCUUGAAUCUGAGAAAUCCAUAGCGUCCCCACUUGGCUGAACUAUCUGAAUGGUCAGGCCAGUGUGUCGGGCAAAGUGUUGAUAGCAUCCAAGGAAGAGAAGAACGUAAUAGAGUGCAUUGAUGUUGUGUUUCUGAUCCAAGAACAUAAAGAUGCCCCUUAUUGACAAUUAAGAUUAAUAAAGAUUUGAUUUUAUGGAACUUUCUGUUAUAAGUUAUUGUUGUUUUGGUAGUAUGAUAUUAAUUGCCCUUUUUGUCUUUGCUAUAUUUGGUAGAUAUUUCAAGCUAAGUCGCAAGCUUUUAUGUAAAAGGCAGUUACACUCGUGCAAGGACAGACGUCUGGUAUGUAAUUCUUACAUGUUUUUUUGUAUGUUACAAUGGUUAUUUGGGCAUUUUUCAUUAUUUGUUGUAUAUUUGUA
Long non-coding RNA from Brassica oleracea var. oleracea, 611 nucleotides. RefSeq lists it as uncharacterized. NCBI's taxonomy places the organism in Eukaryota, Viridiplantae, Streptophyta, Magnoliopsida, Brassicales, Brassicaceae. The record is from RefSeq and is a predicted model, not a curated record. The transcript is spliced from 2 exons.